This is a long non-coding RNA of Diabrotica virgifera virgifera (western corn rootworm), 6270 nucleotides long. RefSeq lists it as uncharacterized. NCBI's taxonomy places the organism in Eukaryota, Metazoa, Arthropoda, Insecta, Coleoptera, Chrysomelidae. The record is from RefSeq and is a predicted model, not a curated record. The transcript is spliced from 2 exons.
UCUGAGACUCUUCAAUUUGUUAUUUUUUGUAUUUAGAUUUAGUGCAAUUCCGUUAUCUGUGAUGGCAACAACGAAGUGAUUCACGAACAAUAAUUGUCAGUCUGAACACAGGUUUACAUUGGGAAAAAAAGUGUACCAGUUUUAUAUGACGCGAAGUGUACACUUCGCGUCAAAAAAAACUGGUACAAGGCCCUGAUUCUAAAUCAAAUUUCGACACUAAACAAGUCGCUUUCAAUAUGGCGAUGGCGACUGUCGAAAUUAUUUGACACGGAGAUGAAUGAAUGGCCAAAAGCGAGGUUAGGUUUAGUUUAGAUGUGUUUUGUUUAUUUCUUGCAAGGAAAACUAAAUCAAAAGGUAUUAUAAUAUUGGGAUAAACCGUAAUCGUACCCCCUCCUAACUGCCAAAGUGUCAUGGCCGCCGUCGGGACCUAUUGUGCUGACAUUUACAAUGUUUACAUAGAGAAAAGUUUGUUUUUUUCUGCUUAUAAUGCCGUUUUCUAAAGAUAGUAGUGAACAAAAUCGAUUUGCUAACAAUAUUUAAUAUAUUUUAAAUGUGCUAAAAUUGGAUUCAACAGCAAAAGUCGCAUAAAUAACAUAUAAAUAACGAAUUUGUUUACCUAUUACAAAUGGGGUUAUGUGGUUGUAACUGUUUAUUUUGGGAAUAAAAUGAAAAUGAUCAAUUAAACGACUGGAAAACUAUAGUGAAGUGAAGAACAUCUUGAAGUUCCAAUGAUGUUUCAAGAUGAGAUAAAUCGAAAUAAUGGUUGUAUGUUAGAAGGACAGAGAAUACGAAGAAAUGUUAUUGCUGCAUACUUAGUGUAGUGAAAUACAAAGUUCAAACAUUAUAAUAUAUUUUUUUAUUUCAAACAUUUCAUAUGAUUAUGAAAGAACAUCUUCCUCUUUAAAACAAUGAAGAAGUGAAAAACAUAAUAAAGUUCCAACGAAAAUGAUUCCAGAUGAGGAAAAUCGAAAUAAUGGUUGUAUGUUACGUGUAUAGAGAAUACGAAGAAAUGUUAUUGCUGCAAACUUAGUGUAGUGAAUUAAAAACUUAUUGUCAAAUACAAAUCAAUUUAUUUCAUACUUUUAUAAUAUAUAGUGGUACAAUUUUAUAUGUGUUCAAAUAAAAAUAUUAAUAAAUAAAAUGCAAUAAACACAAAUCAUGUAUAUCUUACAAUGAAUUACAAAAUCAAAAAUUAAUUACAAAAAUAUCAAAAUAAAUCUAAAAUAUUAAAAAGUAACCCAUAAUUUUUAUAGUACCUUCAUACUUUGGUUGGUACUCUAAUAAUUUGGAAAUCCAUUAAAGUUUGUAGAUGGAAAUUGCAGGUAUCUAAAAAAUAUAUAAAGUAACUCAACAAUCUCUUUUCAAUUAGGGUUGCAGUUGAUAAAGAUGAAUGACCCUUGCUCGGGAAAUCAAAUGUAUCUAAAAAAAAAUUAAGUAACAGCUUUCUAACAAAACAAUCUUAAGGCUGUAGGACACUAUGCAUUUUCUUGUAUCAUUUCUAAUAUCGUUUCUGAUAUCGUUUCUUGUAUACAUUUUCUUGUAUCAUUUCUUGUAUGUACAUUUGUGCCCUGUAUGACACUAUGCAAGUUCUUGUAUCGAAAACUGUAUGAAAUUUGGCAUGUGAUUGGUCGAAAUUUUGUUUGUCACCCUGUCACGUUACAUUGGUAUGGUACUUAUGGUAGUACUGUGUCUACAGCUGAUUUUAAGGAUUUUAUAAAAUUUAUAAACUUUUAAAAACAAAUAUUUUAAUGUUAUAAUAACUAGAAUUUUUACGUUGACUGUUGAUUAUUUGUGUUUUUUAUUUUGUUUUGAUAUUUGUGCUAAAAUAUUUGCAUUAUAAUUAUCUUCAGUUUGAUCCAAAUUGGAACUAUUGUAUUUUCCUCUAUUAAAAAAUUAUGCAAUAUGAAACCCAAAGUUAUUCUAAAUAUAUGGUUAUUAGUAGAACAGUAGUCCAUACCAAACGGUAUAUUAAGUAUCAAUAAAAUAUUUAUAAAUAAUACCUACAAAACACAAAUAAAUUCAUCAAGACAUAAAUCAUAUGAUCUCAUUUUCAGCCGCCAUUAUGACAUUUAGAAGUUUUACCAGCAGGUUUUACGUUUUUGCUCUUUGCGCAGAAAUUGUCGCAGUUAUUGUACAAGAAUCUGUGCCUGACACAAAUUCUUGUAUCGUUUCUGAUAUCGUUUCUUGUAUCUGUGUAUGACACUAUACAUUUUUUUGACAUAUCAGAAACGAUAUUAGAAAUGAUACAAGAAAAUGCAUAGUGUCAUACAGCCUUUAGCACUAAACGGAAACAAAGAUACUGGUAAGUAUUAAAACAUUUUUUGAAAAAUCUUUCUGAAAGUGAAAAUAAAGACUACUCUCUAUGGGAACAACUAAAACUGGGUAUGCUUUACAAAAAAAUGUAUCCAGAACAAACUUCUUCUCUAUAAGGCAAUACUACUACAAGUUUGGAUGUACAGGAUUUAAUUCUGGGGAACUGCCAGUAACACAAAUAUGCAAAGACUACAAAGAUUCCAAUCCAAAGUCUUUCAUGAUGUCCGAUUUUUUUAGUACCACUACCAAAUAUCACGCUAAACUUAAAAUUCUUACAAUGAAGAUAGCUAAAGCUUGAGUACACAUAGAUAGAUCCAACCAAAUAAAUAAAAACAAUUAAUGUAUGUAAAAUGUAUGUUAGUCUUCUUCCACUUGCAGAAGAUAUUUUCAGUUGUUUGUGCCACUGUGAACUUAAGAUCUCUAAUAUUAACCGAUGAUAAAUUUAUGAAAACUGAUUUUAAAUAUUAAAAACUUUCAGAGAUAUUUCAAUUUUCGAAACAUCUUAUAAGAGUGAAAAAUAUUCAGAGACACCUUACAGCCAUAAACCAGUAAAACUAAAAUAUUUAAUGUUUUUGUAUAAAUUAAUAUUAAUAUUUAUGAACUUUUUAAAUAUAUCUUUAAAAAUUUUAUGAUAAAAUGUUUUUGAGUAAAGGCAAGAUUUUUUUUGUAUGGUAAUAGAAAAGAUUAAUAUUUGAAAUCAUAUACAGCAUCACAUUUUAUAAAUUAUAAUCUUUUUAUUAUAAAAAUAGUAAUACAGUGUGUCUACGGAUGGGGUGCCCAAGAGGAAAAACUUUUUUAUUUUCAAUUUUAGCGAAAAAUGUCAUUCUUGAUAAAAAGUUUUGCUUGUUCUAAAACCCCAUAAAAUGAACUAAAAUUCAAGUUUUUCAAAUCCUGCUUAUUUUUAUAGCCAAUUUUAUGUAAAUCCCUAUAAAUUUUUGCACUAAGUUCGAAAUUGUAACAAUAAUAACUUGGGAGAACAACCCUUUCACUUCUCUGGAUUACGAAGCCAGACUUUGUCGUUCUCCUUGAAUCAUCCAAUUAUUUAUUAAUUAAAUAAUUAUUAAUACAACAAUUUUAAUAAUGAAAUUUAUCACAAGAUAAAUUCUUUAUUGAUAGCUUAACAUUGUCAAAAAAAUUGACCAUUCGCAAAUUAUUUAUCGAAAUUGAUAGUUACUAAGCUACAUUGUGGCUUGGCAACACUAGAUUAUUGUUAAGAUUUCAAACUUAGUGCAAAAAUUUACAUAAAAUAGGGAUUUGCAUAAAAUUGGCUACAAAAUUAAGCAGGAUUUAAAAAACUUGAAUUUUAUUUCGUUUUAUGGGGUUUUAGAACAAGCAAAACUUUUUAUCAAUAAUGACAUUUUUCGCUAAAAUUGAAAAUAAAAAAGUUUUUCCUCUUGGGCACCCCAACCGUGGACACACUGUAUAUAAUUAUAAUACUAAAAUCACAAUAAAGACGCACUAGAAAGAAACAAACACAAGACAUGAUGAAUGUUAUGAGGAGCACUCACAAAUCAUGAUUUACAAAGUUUAUACAUUGUAAAUCAUGAUUCGGGAGUGCUAUUUGUAUCAUUCAACAUGUCUUGGGUUGUUUAUUUCUGGUGCAUCUUUAUUGUCAGUUUAGUAUAAGAGAAUUACAAGUUUUAUGUUAAAUCUUCUGAAUCAAAUUUUUGUUAGGUAUCAUGUCACUCUUACUAAUUUUAUCCCAUAAACACUUUGAAAUAAUACAUUUUUUAGUUCCAUGACUGUUAUCAAUUGUUGGAUAUCAUAUAUUGGCUACCAUAUUCGCUAUUGUGGCUUUAUUGACAGCAGCUCUAACUAAUGAUGAUGGAGUCGAUUUUCCAUACUAUGGUCUUAGAUUGUUCAGCUAUGAUUGUGAGAUUCUACCAGAACCACAUUUACCUUGGAUCUUUCUCUGAAUUAUCAAAUGCAAAAGUUUAUAUUUUUUAGGGUGUUUCAUACCUAAGUAUUAUUGACCUAAGUAUUCCAGCUUGUGUCUCUUUAGUCAAAUGGAAAUUAUUAUAUGAAACUCUACAAGAACACAUUCAUAUUAUAAUCAAUUAAGUAUAUUAAUUUUAAUCACAAAUGUUUAUUGGUUGAGAGAGUGACUUUUUUACUUAUGCUCAAUCAAAUAUUUUUACUAUUUUCUGUUAGUUUUUUAAUAGUUAUUUAUGAUAUAAAUGUUAAAAGUACACAUUUAAGGCACGCAUGUGAAAGUCUGCAAUUCACAUGAGUGCCUUAAAAAUGUACUUUUUAACACACAUAUCAUACAAUAUUUUUUCUGCAAACGUAAUUACAGAAUAAUAUCUACAAAAACUUUUUUCUACAACCGUGUUAAAAAUUCAAUUUUUAGCACUCCAUAAGAGCAUUAAAAAUGCUACUUUAAGGUACAAGUGCUUUAAAAUUUUUAUGGCACUGCAAUUCGUAUUGACCGUAUAGACAAUUUUGAUGUAAUGUCACAAAAAUAUAAAAAUGGAAUGUCAGUCAAGUUCAAGUAAAAGUUUUUGUAGAUAUUGUCCUGUAAUUACGUUUGUAGAAAAAAUAUUGUAUGAUAUGCGUGUUAAAAAGUACAUUUUUAAGGCAAACUUUCACAUGCGUGCCUUAAACGUGUACUUUUAACACUUAUAUCAUAAAUAACUACCUAUUACUUGAACUGACAUUCCAUUUUUAUAUUUUUUUGACAUUACAUCAAAAUUGCCUAUACAGUCUAUAUACAGUAGCGUUUUUAACGCUUGUAUAGAGUGCUGAAAGUUGCAUUUUAACACGGUUGUAGAAAAAAUAAAUUUUAUGUAUAUUUUAUCUAAAAAAGUAUUUAAGCACUUAAAUAUUUUUUCAAAAAUAGAAUAUUUUUAUGAACUUCUUUAAUUCUUUUUUAUUUUAACUUUAAUGCAAUCUGUUAUCAUUAUAACAAUAUGACAGAUAUAAAAAAUGACACAGUGGGAACUACACUCAGGGGUGAGAACUCUUUACAUAUUUAUAUUAAUUUAGUCUACAUUUACCAUAUUUCUGACUUUUUUACAAAUUAGUAACUACUAUCUACUUCCCAGUGGUGUAGAGAUCUGUAACUUUUCUUAACCCUCUAGUGCCCUAGUUUGCCUCAAGGCGGACCAUAAUAAAAAUUUCCAUCCUUACUAUUUAAGUAUUUUAUAGCUGCAAUACCGAAACCAGCCUCUGGACUAGAUCAGAUAAGCAUCCAGCUUUUAAAAGUUUGGGUGAUCAGACAGAUUUUUACCCUAUAAUUUUCAGUUUAGCAUGAUAUUUGGUAGUGGUACUAAAAACAUCGGACAUCAUAAAAGACUUCGGAUUAGAAUCUUAAUAGUUUUUGCAUAUUUGUAUUACUGGCAGUUCCCCAGAUUUAAAUCCUGUACAUCCAGAUUUGUCGUAGUAUUGCCUUAUAGAGAAGAAAUUUGUUCUGGAUACAUUUUUUUGUAAAGCAUGCCCAGUUUUAGUUGUUCCCAUAGAGAGUAGUCUUUAUUUUCACUUUCAGAAAGAUUUUUCAAAAAAUGUUUUAAUACUUACCAGUAUCUUUGUUUCCGUUUAGUGCUAAGAUUGUUUUGUUAGAAAGCUGUUACUUAAUUUUUUUUAUAUACAUUUGAUUUCCCGAGCAAGGGUCAUCUUUAUCAACUGCUACCCUAAUUAAAAAGAGAUUGUUGAGUUACUUUAUAUUAUUAUAUUUUUUAGAUACCUGCAAUUUCCAUCUACAAACUUUAAUGGAUCUCCAAAUUAUUAGAGUACCAACCAAAGUAUGUAGGUACUAUAAAAAUUAUAUGUAACUUUUUAAUAUUUUAGAUUUAUUUUGAUAUUUUUGUAAUUAAUUUUUGAUUUUGUAAUUCAUUGUAAGAUAUACAUGAUUUGUGUUUAUUGUAUUUUAUUUAUUAAUAUUUUUAUUUGAACACAUAUAAAAUUAUAUCACUAUAUAUUAUAAAAGUAUGAAAUAAAUUGAUUUGUAUUUGACAAUAA